RNAcentral lists this ribosomal RNA (253 nucleotides) under uncultured bacterium. RNAcentral describes it as "partial 16S ribosomal RNA". It matches the Rfam family "Bacterial small subunit ribosomal RNA", at positions 524 to 776 of the family's 1533-position model. The record is from RNAcentral.
UACGUAGGGGGCAAGCGUUGUCCGGAUUUAUUGGGCGUAAAGAGCGUGUAGGCGGCUUUACAGGUCCGUUGUGAAAACUCGAGGCUCAACCUCGAGACGCCGGUGGAAACCGUAAGGCUAGAGUCCGGAAGAGGAGAGUGGAAUUCCUGGUGUAGCGGUGAAGUGCGCAGAUAUCAGGAGGAACACCAGCGGCGAAGGCGGGCACCUGGGCCAUCACUGACGCUGAUGCGCGAAAGCUAGGGGAGCAAACAGG